AGACUAAGCUUUAGUGUUUCUUCAGGUUUAAAUGUGUAGUAAGGGUGGUUUAUUAACUGCUUAGAAUCUGUGAAAGUGCACAAUUGUGGGAAAAUAGAACAAAGCCACCGCACGUAGCUUCUCGGGAUCCUCCAAACUGUCCACUGAAAAAGUUUUAGUAAAUGACCACCAUUUUACUGAGAUUAUAUUUCGUCACAUAUCAUCGUUUGUAAAUUUAAUUUGUUUUUAAUCAUUUAUGGUUAUGUCGCGAUUAGUUUCCUUCGUUUUUUUAUUAUUCAUAAACUGUAAAUAAAUAAAACGGCGAAUUAUAAAAACCUCAUUACUUGACGCUGGCUAAUGUACAAGCCGUGCCGGAGCCAAAAAAUGAAGAAGAAGAAUCAUAGAAAUAAAUUUUAAUAAAUAAACACAAUAUCCUUUGCACACUAUUGCACAGUAACAUUCAAAAUGACGACUUUGACGCCAACUGCUGUACCCGGAAUUCGGUGAUUACACUGUCCGAAAAAACCGAGAUCCAGAUCCAAAAAACUGAUUUUCUCUACAUCUAACAUGAAGUUUGUGUGCGAGAGAGAAGGCCCAUUCAUUAGGUACAGUUUUUAAAUGUGUUAGAAAGAAUAAAACAUAAUAGUAGAAUAUAUGCUAUGAGUCCAAACUCCGGACUAUUCAUACCCGGAAUUCGGCGACUCAACAGUUGACGCAUAUCUUGUUGAACCCGGAAUUCGGCGAUUGCACUGUCCAAAAGAUAUUUGAGUUGAGAAGAAUGCUUUAAUUGUUAUAAAGACUCAAAACAAGAUAUUCUAUAAAAAAACUAAUAAAUGCAAUAAAACUAAAAUGAGCAUUCACAGCAGUAGAAGCAACAAUUCUUCAAUAAUAUCCAAUAACACCAAGAUACAAGCUCUGGAUUCUGUGUUACAGCAGAGCUUUCAUUAUCUUAAGGGUAUUGUGUCAGAUUUUGAAGUACUCCAAAGUGAAUCGGAGAAUUACAAAACUCAGUUUGAAAUUCAAAAACAAAAGUGUGAAAGUGAAUCCUGUCCUAGUGCUGAAGCAUUGAAAAAAGUAAUAGAUACAAAAAACAAUAUCAUCGGAUUAGUUGCAUCAACAUUAACAAAACUAUAUGAAACAAAAAACUUUGACAUACUCACAGAAGCAUUUAAAAUACUAUACAAAUCCAAUACAACCAAUCCAGCAUUGCUUGAAACUGAGAAAUUGAGUCCAAUAGCAGAAUCAAGAGCUUGUAAUGAAAAGUUAAGAGAGGAUUCACUGAAUGAAAUAGAAAGCACUCCAACGGGAAGGAUCAGCCCCAUAAUACAGUCUAAGAAAGCCAAAUGUUCUUUGAAACUAGACUGUAGAGAUAAGAAGAAGUGCUCUGAGAAUUGGUCUACGCCAGAGAAAAAAGUUGUUAAACUAUCAUUCCCAACACCAACUAGAGCAAAAUCAGGUACCGUCGGCAGUGGAAGGUUGAGACAAGCAAGACUAAACAUAGUUAAUGUUAAACAGACUCAUGUAGUUGACCUCACUUCUUCGCCAGAGUUCUUCGGUGGGCUUAAGACGUCUAGAACUGAAAAUGAAUGUUUUCAGGCUUCGAUCAAAAGGGUGCCUACAGAGAAUGACGACACUAUCCAGCCCUCGCCCACCAGUGAGUCAACUAUGUUCGGAAUGAGUAAAUUAAAAACGAAAGAGAGUCCGCUAAAGUUGAAGAGACCGAAAUGUUUGUCGUUAAUUAAAAAAGAAAAUAUUUCAAAUAUCGAACGGGAGAAUAAUGAAAAUGAUUUAUUUAAAACGGAAACAGAAAUGGAACAUUCGAUUAAUAUUUUAAAUCCUUUGCCCCAAAGAUUUAUUAAAGAAAAUAAACCAUUAACACCAGUAAAGAUUGAGAAUGUUGAUGAAGACGCGACUCACUGUGAUACAGCAUUGAGCGGGUCUCUUCUACAAGAAGAUGCUGGUUGUGACGGCAACCCGACUGAUAGGUAAGAAAGAAGUAGCCGGUAAUCACUUACAUAUUAACAUUGUUGCAACAUCUUACGUAACUCAGUUGGACCUAACUUCACCACAAAGAUCAAAUGUAUUGUGAAUUGGAUGACAGAAGAUAUGUGUUUAUUUUAUUUGAUUUUCUUUAAUAAAGUAGGAAUAAAAGUAAAGUUUGUGUGAAGCAAUCAACUGUUUUAUUGGCACAAAUUGAAUAGAUCCCACAUUUUUUGUUGUUGUAAUAAACCAAACUUGGCUUCACCUCAUUCACUUUACUACUAGCUGUAUAUAAUUUUUUGCAUGUUAUUCUACUACAAGAAUCUAUUACAAAUAGUACUGUUUUCAAAAAUCAUUUGUAUGUGACAGUUUUUAUUGUUGUGUAUUUAAUUAUUUAAGUAUUUAAUUAAAAUGAUACAUAAAAUGAAAUAUUAGAUUGAAGUAUUCCAGAUAGUCUGUCGCACAAUUACGGCACAAUCGUAUUUAUAGUGAAAACCAAAACUAGAACUAUAACUAUAACUUAUAGUCAAUAAUAAUUUGCGCAGGAGUUGCCGCCCCUUUCAACAUGUCCUCCGCCUGAAGAACAAUAGAUCAAAGCGUGGCCAUCUUGUGUCUUUACCACUCCGACAAAUAAGAUGCGCCGGCGACAUGUUGCAGGGGGCGUGGUUUAACAGUCUUUGCACACGGCACUCGGAUCACCUGAUGUGACGUAAAAUCGUAUGAUUUCGGUGCUGCGUUGAGAUGUGCGAGUUGACUUGCCCACUCGCCACAAGAUGAAACAGUUAAAUUAGCUAGUGCAACUCUAUCUUGUUUUUAUCGGAAAACAUGCUCAUUGGUCCUUCCCACCUCCGCAUGAAGCAUUUAAUGCGUGCCUCAUUGAGAAAUAUUAAUAUUAUUUGUAGAAAACUCCCAGAAUUUGCGGAACCAAUGUACAAAGAACCGA
Bombyx mori (domestic silkworm) is the source of this 2902-nucleotide RNA transcript. RefSeq lists it as uncharacterized. The transcript is spliced from 9 exons. Lineage: Eukaryota; Metazoa; Arthropoda; Insecta; Lepidoptera; Bombycidae. The record is from RefSeq and is a predicted model, not a curated record.